Molecule: long non-coding RNA, 2427 nt
Organism: Anolis carolinensis (green anole)
Lineage: Eukaryota; Metazoa; Chordata; Lepidosauria; Squamata; Anolidae
Exons: 11
Source: RefSeq, a predicted model, not a curated record
CUCAUUGGUUGCUAGGAGCUGGAAGAACCAGAGAGUAAGGUAGAGAGAGAAAGGCUGGUGCAGGGAAGAUGGGCAGCAGGGUUUGGGGGGAGCUUGGAUGAUGGGAGAUGUGGCUGAUAAGGCAUCGCUGGAGGGUUGCUAGGAAGGGAUUGAGGAUCGGCAUGAAGGGAAAGGGCAUUUGUGGGGAGGGGAACAAACGGUGGUCUGUUUAGGUAAUAUUAAUCUCUGGGUGUUGCAUUCAAACUUGUGCAGUAUAUAUUUAGAUAGAAAUGUGUAUUUGUUUACUUGUGUUAAAGUGGGUCUCAGUCUGCUGUGUGGGUCCCUAGACAUUUGAUCUGUCCCAAAGUCCUAACAUUAUAGUGCCACUUGGAUCAAAUGUCAACAACACAGAAGGGAACAGAAUGUUAGGAAAAAAGCAGAAUCUAUCAUGGUUUAGGUUAGAAUAUUUGUCUAAGAUCAAAAUUUACAAGAGGAGUGGAUAUCGUCCUGUGCUCCCAGGCCAUGCAGCCUACACGGCGGGGCCGCCUGUCCACACCUGGAGUAGGUACUAGCCUGGGUGUUGAUGUCACCACUAGCCCUUCCAUCUCUGGUGAUCUUCGGCUGCUCCAUGUCAUAGAUUGUGGUGAGCAGUUACUUUGUUGUCAGUUCAACAACGAUGGGACGCGGAUUGCAGCAGGAUUGAAGAACGGUUCCAUUAAGGUUUAUGCUGUCCACGAUGGGCUGCUUCACCAUAUUCUUGCUGACAGUGAGACUGCCACGUUGGGGCUACCUAUCACCUCCCUGCGCUAUCUGCCCCGGGGCCCUGCCCACAACGGAGACGUCUUGCUCGCCACCUAUUCUGGUGGGAAGGUGAAACUAUGGCACGUCUCAUCCCGCACUUGUAUGCGCACGUUAACAGAGGACCGGCAGACAAUGAUAUCCUGCUUCAACCCUUCAGGUUCCAGGUUCCUCACAGCAGGAGCAGGGCUUGGUAUUAACAUGUAUGAUACUCAGACCUGGAAUAAAACAGGAACCUAUGAGCCAAGUGAUUCUCCAAGUUUGAUGGACGGGCACGUGUACCGGGUCUAUGCUGUGACCUUCUUUCCAGAAAAUGACAAUAAUUUUAUCUCUGGAGGAUGGGAUGACACUGUUCAGUUCUGGAACACACAGUCACCACAUUCUGUACGGCGCAUCUCUGGGCCCCACAUUUGUGGUGAUGCUGUCUCGAUAGACAAAACCGGGACACAGAUUUUGACAGGUUCCUGGAGGCGUAAUAACACAAUCCAGAUCUGGGACGCCGACACAUGUGCCAAAAUCAUGGACAUCCCUGAAGACUUUCGGGGUCACUCGCAGAUUUAUACCUGUCAUUUCCUCGGUCUUGAUCACAUCAUAGCUGGUGGGAGUCGAAACAACUUAUGCCGGCUUAUUGACAGGAGGAUCCUCAUGAGUACGGGGGCACUGAAUGGGCUGCCUGGAGGGGUCUACAGCACCCAUAUCAGCAGCCGCGGGAUCUUAGCAGCCACUUCCCUGAACUCCUUGUUCCUGGCACAGACUCCUGUACGACCCUGAACCUUCCUUUAAAGUGGGAUUCUUGCACCCACCAGGAGAGAUGCCACCAACACCUCGGUAUGGACAAAUCAUGGUCUUCCACUAAGGACUUGUAUUGCUGAUCAUGGUCGAUCCCAGCACGUCCUGUUUAUAUUCACAUCUUCUCAUCAUGUUCUCCCGUCAGCGAUGCAAGACACUGUGCCUUCCAAAUCAUGGUUUACUUUCAUGGAUGUUUUCCCAUUUUGAAUCAAGGGCAGAUUCGCCAUACCAGCUUCAACCUUCUCUUCUUUCAUGAUCACCCCUGUAUACUUUCUUGCUGUAUUCUUAUUGACUGCUGCUGUCAUCUAAUAUGCACUAAUCAGACUAGGUAAUGUUACCAGAAGUCUCUGGGGUUGAAACAUAUCGCAUAAUCCCUUGUUGUACCAAAUCAUGAGGACAUAGGUGAGAAGCCUGUUCCAUUACAGUACACUUUUAAUCAAAUGUUUGGAAGUUUGCCCUUGUAUUUCUGCAUAAAUUUGUCGUCCCUGCCCAGGGGCUAAGAUCUCUCUCCCUCCCUCCCUCUUCCCAACUCGGCUGUCAUAAAACACUGCCUUGGUGCCAAAUUAAACCAUAUGACCACUUGUGUGUACAGGAUCCCUGAGUUCUUUGGGAAAGGAAUGAGAUCUGCCCAUACAUGAGCGGAGCAGGUGGCAGCUCUGGCUACUUCCAGGUUGAAGCUUCUUUUGGCACGGAUAGUUAGAAAGCAUUUUAUCUUCUCUUCUUAAUGGAUUUUUUUCUGGCAUUAAGAAGAACUGUCAAAGAAACAACUGGAAAAAUGGCAGGUUAUAAGUGGAAGAUCAUGAUAUGCUGUAAAAUAAUAUCAAUGACAUGGGGUAAAAUAAAAAAACUCAGCUGCAAGCA